RNAcentral lists this ribosomal RNA (275 nucleotides) under uncultured bacterium. RNAcentral describes it as "partial 16S ribosomal RNA". It matches the Rfam family "Bacterial small subunit ribosomal RNA", at positions 338 to 629 of the family's 1533-position model. The record is from RNAcentral.
CCUACGGGUGGCUGCAGUGAGGGAUAUUGCACAAUGGGGGAAACCCUGAUGCAGCGACGCCGCGUGGGCGAUGACGGUCUUCGGAUUGUAAAGCCCUUUUCUAGGUGACGAGAACGGACGGUAGCCUAGGAAGAAGUCUCGGCUAACUACGUGCCAGCAGCCGCGGUAAAACGUAGGAGGCAAGCGUUAUCCGGAGUUACUGGGCGUAAAGGGCGUGUAGGCGGUUGGAUAAGUGGAUGGUGAAAGACCCGCGCUCAACGCGGGGAACGCCGUUC